AACGAACGCUGGCGGCAGGCCUAACACAUGCAAGUCGAGCGCCCCGCAAGGGGAGCGGCGGACGGGUGAGUAACGCGUGGGAACGUACCCUUUGCUACGGAAUAGCCUCGGGAAACUGGGAGUAAUACCGUAUGUGCCCUUCGGGGGAAAGAUUUAUCGGCAAAGGAUCGGCCCGCGUUGGAUUAGGUAGUUGGUGGGGUAAUGGCCUACCAAGCCGACGAUCCAUAGCUGGUUUGAGAGGAUGAUCAGCCACACUGGGACUGAGACACGGCCCAGACUCCUACGGGAGGCAGCAGUGGGGAAUCUUAGACAAUGGGCGCAAGCCUGAUCUAGCCAUGCCGCGUGAGCGAUGAAGGCCUUAGGGUUGUAAAGCUCUUCAGUGGGGAAGAUAAUGACUGUACCCACAGAAGAAGCCCGGCUAACUCCGUG
RNAcentral lists this ribosomal RNA (429 nucleotides) under uncultured bacterium. RNAcentral describes it as "bacterial SSU rRNA". It matches the Rfam family "Bacterial small subunit ribosomal RNA", at positions 29 to 507 of the family's 1533-position model. The record is from RNAcentral.